This 497-nucleotide ribosomal RNA is filed under the name uncultured bacterium. RNAcentral's name for it is "partial 16S ribosomal RNA". It matches the Rfam family "Bacterial small subunit ribosomal RNA", at positions 30 to 507 of the family's 1533-position model. The record is from RNAcentral.
CGAACGCUGGCGGCGUGCCUAAUACAUGCAAGUCGAGCGAAGUUUUUCUGGUGCUUGCACCGGAAAAACUUAGCGGCGAACGGGUGAGUAACACGUAAAGAACCUGCCUCAUAGACUGGGACAACUAUUGGAAACGAUAGCUAAUACCGGAUAAUAGCAUUAACUGCAUGGUUGAUGUUUAAAAGUUGGUUUUGCUAACACUAUGAGAUGGCUUUGCGGUGCAUUAGCUAGUUGGUGGGGUAAAGGCCUACCAAGGCGACGAUGCAUAGCCGACCUGAGAGGGUGAUCGGCCACACUGGGACUGAGACACGGCCCAGACUCCUACGGGAGGCAGCAGUAGGGAAUCUUCCGCAAAGGGCGAAAGCCUGACGGAGCAACGCCGCGUGAGUGAAGAAGGAUUUCGGUUCGUAAAGCUCUGUUGUUAGGGAAGAAUGAUUGUGUAGUAACUAUACACAGUAGAGACGGUACCUAACCAGAAAGCCACGGCUAACUACGUG